UACAGAGGGGGCUAGCGUUGUUCGGAAUUACUGGGCGUAAAGCGCGCGUAGGCGGAUCACUAAGUCAGGGGUGAAAUCCCGAGGCUUAACCUCGGAACUGCCUUUGAUACUGGAGAUCUGGAGAUCGGGAGAGGUUGGUGGAAUUCCGAGUGUAGAGGUGAAAUUCGUAGAUAUUCGGAGGAACACCAGAAGCGAAGGCGGCCAACUGGCCCGAUACUGACGCUGAGGCGCGAAAGCGUGGGGAGCAAACAGG
Molecule: ribosomal RNA, 253 nt
Filed under: uncultured bacterium
Lineage: Bacteria
Description: partial 16S ribosomal RNA
Rfam family: Bacterial small subunit ribosomal RNA
Source: RNAcentral